UGGGGAAUAUUGCACAAUGGGCGCAAGCCUGAUGCAGCCAUGCCGCGUGUGUGAAGAAGGCCUUCGGGUUGUAAAGCACUUUCAGCGAGGAGGAAGGUGGUGAGCUUAAUACGCUCAUCAAUUGACGUUACUCGCAGAAGAAGCACCGGCUAACUCCGUGCCAGCAGCCGCGGUAAUACGGAGGGUGCAAGCGUUAAUCGGAAUUACUGGGCGUAAAGCGCACGCAGGCGGUUUGUUAAGUCAGAUGUGAAAUCCCCGGGCUCAACCUGGGAACUGCAUUUGAAACUGGCAAGCUAGAGUCUCGUAGAGGGGGGUAGAAUUCCAGGUGUAGCGGUGAAAUGCGUAGAGAUCUGGAGGAAUACCGGUGGCGAAGGCGGCCCCCUGGACGAAGACUGACGCUCAGGUGCGAAAGCGUGGGGAGCAAAACAGGAUUAGAUACCCUGGUAGUCCACGCUGUAAAACGAUGUCGAUUUUGGAGGUUGUGCCCUGAGGCGUGGNUUCCGGAGCUAACG
This 512-nucleotide ribosomal RNA is filed under the name uncultured bacterium. RNAcentral describes it as "partial 16S ribosomal RNA". It matches the Rfam family "Bacterial small subunit ribosomal RNA", at positions 355 to 857 of the family's 1533-position model. The record is from RNAcentral.